This 377-nucleotide ribosomal RNA is filed under the name uncultured eukaryote. Its description in RNAcentral is "partial 18S ribosomal RNA". It matches the Rfam family "Eukaryotic small subunit ribosomal RNA", at positions 592 to 976 of the family's 1831-position model. The record is from RNAcentral.
CAAUAGCGUAUAUUUAAGUUGCUGCAGUUAAAAAGCUCGUAGUUGGAUUUCGGGUGGGAAUGGCCGGUCCGCCGUUUCGGUGUGCACUUGCUACGCCCACCUUGCUGCCGAGGACGUGCUCUUGAGUUCACGCUCGGGACACGGAGUCGGCGAGGUUACUUUGAGUAAAUUAGAGUGUUCAAAGCAGGCCUACGCUCUGAAUACAUUAGCAUGGAAUAACACGAUAGGACUCUGGCCUAUCUUGUUGGUCUGUAGGACCGGAGUAAUGAUUAAGAGGGACAGUCGGGGGCAUUCGUAUUUCAUUGUCAGAGGUGAAAUUCUUGGAUUUAUGAAAGACGAACUACUGCGAAAGCAUUUGCCAAGGAUGUUUUCAUUAA